CUCUUAUUCAGAGUGGUGGAGGUACAUAGGACCUGUGAAGCCACGGCAACCUUUGCCUGCUUUGCAUUUGUGCAAGAAGCAAAAGGUGCCAACCUGAGCGAUGGUGUUUGAAUACGCAGUCGAGCAAUAAGGG
This 133-nucleotide non-coding RNA is filed under the name Firmicutes bacterium CAG:791. Its description in RNAcentral is "SAM riboswitch aptamer (S box leader)". It matches the Rfam family "SAM riboswitch aptamer (S box leader)". Rfam says of the family: The SAM riboswitch is found upstream of a number of genes which code for proteins involved in methionine or cysteine biosynthesis in Gram-positive bacteria. The SAM riboswitch acts at the level of transcription termination control. RNAcentral also lists the same sequence under 1 other name. The record is from Rfam by way of RNAcentral. Lineage: Bacteria; Bacillati; Bacillota.